This is a small nucleolar RNA of Cannabis sativa, 82 nucleotides long. RefSeq annotates it as small nucleolar RNA U61. The record is from RefSeq and is a predicted model, not a curated record. Lineage: Eukaryota; Viridiplantae; Streptophyta; Magnoliopsida; Rosales; Cannabaceae. The transcript has a single exon.
CAGCCGUGAGGAAGAAACACCUGUGCUUGAGGCAUUAAAAUGUCUGUGACGGCUACACAAACCUCUAAGAAGUUCUGAGCUG